This 343-nucleotide long non-coding RNA is filed under the name Jatropha curcas. RNAcentral's name for it is "long non-coding RNA (JCUR_LNC003323)". The record is from RNAcentral. Lineage: Eukaryota; Viridiplantae; Streptophyta; Magnoliopsida; Malpighiales; Euphorbiaceae.
AAACAUUAGCUAUGCCAAUGUCGCCAUUGAAAAACAAAUCUCUGCUUCUUCUAGUUUCUUUCUUUCAUCUACAACAGUUAACAUUUCGGUUCUUGCUCUCAUGGCAUUCUAAAGAAGAGAAAGGUGAUUUCUUCGCAGUUUUUACAUUAAUUGAGAGUGUUAUUCUUUUCUUUGUAACGAUUUCCAUAUUCUAAUGGCAGCCAUUGUUUACACUUACAGGUUACGUCUGGACUCCAGUUCACAAUACAGCCUUGGACUUGAUUGCUAAUGAAGAUCUUGAAGAGGAAUUUGAAGAUGAAGAAGGGGAGGAGUUUCUUGUCUUCUUUUUUCUUUUUGAUUUCUU